AAUGAACGUUGGCGGCGUGGAUUAGGCAUGCGAGUCGAGCGAGAACCGUAGCAAUACGGGGACAGCGGCGAAAGGGACAGUAACGGGUAGAUUAUCUGCCCUCAGGUUUGGGAUAGCUGCGGGAAACUGCAAGUAAUACCAAAUAAUAUCUCCGGAUCAAAGGUGUGAUUCCGCCUGAGGAUGAGUCUGCCUCCUAUUAGCUUGUUGGUGGGGUAACGGCCUACCAAGGCAUUGAUGGGUAGCGGGUGUGAGAGCACGACCCGCGUCAUUGGGACUGAGACACUGCCCAGACACCUACGGGUGGCUGCAGUCGAGAAGCUUCGGCAAUGGACGCAAGUCUGACCGAGCGACGCCGCGUGUGGGAUGAAGGCCUUCGGGUUGUAAACCACUGUCAGAGGGGAUGAAAUGCAGGUGGGUACUCCCAUUUGUUUGACAUAGCCUCAGAGGAAGUACGGGCUAAGUUCGUGCCAGCCGCCGCCGUAA
Molecule: ribosomal RNA, 483 nt
Filed under: uncultured bacterium
Lineage: Bacteria
Description: partial 16S ribosomal RNA
Rfam family: Bacterial small subunit ribosomal RNA
Source: RNAcentral